Nerophis lumbriciformis (worm pipefish) is the source of this 1324-nucleotide RNA transcript. It is a transcript of the gene named inositol monophosphatase 1, with no coding region annotated. The record is from RefSeq and is a predicted model, not a curated record. Lineage: Eukaryota; Metazoa; Chordata; Actinopteri; Syngnathiformes; Syngnathidae.
GGUAGAGGGCAGCAGCGCAGGCUGUAAGAAAAGUGAGCGAGACAAAACCCGGAAGUGAGCCGCGCUACUGAUCCGCAACAUCAAGUAAGACAAGCCUAGUCUCUCCACCUUGACAAAAGGUGUUUAAGCUGUCCUUCCAAUAUGGCCGACGUGUGGCAGAGCGCCAUGGACCACGCUGUAGCUGUGGCUAGAAAAGCCGGACAGGUGGUGCGGGAAGCUGUGCAAAGCGUUCAUAAGGAAGCAGUGAUGGUGAAAAGUUCGUCAGUCGAUCUGGUGACCCAGACGGACCAGAAGGUGGAGAAGCUCAUCAUCCAGUCUGUGAAGGAGAAGUUCCCAAAACACAGCUUCAUAGGGGAGGAGUCUGUUGCCGCAGGAGAAGUUUGCACCCUGACUGACAGUCCCACCUGGAUCAUUGACCCCAUUGAUGGCACCACCAACUUUGUUCACACCUAUCCUUAUGUUGGCGUGUCCAUCGGAUUCUCCGUCAACAAACAGGUGGAGUUCGGUGUGGUAUACAGUUGUCUCCAAGAUCAAAUGUUCACUGCACGGCGAGGGAAGGGCGCCUUCUGUAACGGAGAACCUCUACAAGUUUCUAAUCAGCAAGACAUCCACCAGGCUCUCAUCGCUGCAGAGUUUGGGUCCAACAGAGACGUGCAAACCGUGGAAAAGAUCUUCUCCAGCCUUAAGAAAGUUGUCAGCAUCCCUGUCCACGGGGUGCGUGGCGCAGGAAGUGCAGCCAUCAACAUGUGCCUGGUGGCGUCCGGCUGCGUGGAGGCUUACUACGAGAUCGGCAUGCACGUGUGGGAUAUCGCAGCGGGCUCGCUCAUCGUCUCCGAGGCCGGCGGCGUCGUCAUGGACGUGGAGGGAGGCUCCUUGGACUUGAUGUCCCGCCGAGUUUUGGCUGCCAACAAUCGAAAAGUUGCCGAGCGACUCGUCAAAGAAAUCGAUGCAUUCCGUCCGAUUAGAGACGACGCGCCGCUGGCAGAGUGAAGACUUGUAGUCACAUGACCUGUGUCAAGCAAACUACCAAAACAUCCCAAAAUAUUCACUGGGAGACUUCAAAUGAGCAGCAAGGGGAGCAUCCGCCAGGGCAGUUGCUGGAUUUUCCAUCUCCAUUGUUGGGGUCUCUGCGGGUGAGUCAAAGCUCGCGGUUGGUGGAUGAACACGCUGAACCGGACGUCCUGAUUAGCCGCUGCCCUGACAAAGCGACUGUUUGCCGUCAUGGUGACCGCCUGCAGCGAGUCUCCGGUGCCAAAAAUCAAGAGGGAGCGGCGGUUUACCUUGGCACUCGGCGUGAGGCGCAAUGCCCGCUCUGAAGGCCGGU